This 69-nucleotide transfer RNA is filed under the name Chlamyphorus truncatus (Pink fairy armadillo). RNAcentral describes it as "tRNA-Met". Lineage: Eukaryota; Metazoa; Chordata; Mammalia; Cingulata; Chlamyphoridae. The record is from RNAcentral.
AGUAAGGUCAGCUAAUCAAGCUAUCGGGCCCAUACCCCGAAAAUGUAGGCUCACAGCCUUCCCGUACUA